UAAGGGGGCAUGCUUACCAUGCAGUCGACGGCAGCACGGGUGCUUGCACCUGGUGGCGAGUGGCGAACGGGUGAGUAAUACAUCGGAACAUGUCCUGUAGUGGGGGAUAGCCCGGCGAAAGCCGGAUUAAUACCGCAUACGAUCUCUGGAUGAAAGCGGGGGACCUUCGGGCCUCGCGCUAUAGGGUUGGCCGAUGGCUGAUUAGCUAGUUGGUGGGGUAAAGGCCUACCAAGGCGACGAUCAGUAGCUGGUCUGAGAGGACGACCAGCCACACUGGGACUGAGACACGGCCCAGACUCCUACGGGAGGCAGCAGUGGGGAAUUUUGGACAAUGGGCGAAAGCCUGAUCCAGCAAUGCCGCGUGUGUGAAGAAGGCCUUCGGGUUGUAAAGCACUUUUGUCCGGAAAGAAAUCCUUGGCCCUAAUACGGUCGGGGGAUGACGGUACCGGAAGAAUAAGCACCGGCUAACUACGUGCCAGCACCGCGGGUAAA
This 492-nucleotide ribosomal RNA is filed under the name Burkholderia sp. Hu55A. RNAcentral's name for it is "bacterial SSU rRNA". It matches the Rfam family "Bacterial small subunit ribosomal RNA", at positions 38 to 525 of the family's 1533-position model. The record is from RNAcentral. Lineage: Bacteria; Pseudomonadati; Pseudomonadota; Betaproteobacteria; Burkholderiales; Burkholderiaceae.